CUACGGGGUGCUCCAGUGGGGAAUAUUGGACAAUGGGGGCAACCCUGAUCCAGCGAUGCCGCGUGUGUGAAGAAGGCCUGCGGGUUGUAAAGCACUUUAGUUGGGGAGGAAAAGCCAUUUGUUAAUAGCGGAUGGAAUUGACGUUACCCAAAGAAUAAGCACCGGCUAACUCUGUGCCAGCAGCCGCGGUAAUACAGAGGGUGCAAGCGUUAAUCGGAAUUACUGGGCGUAAAGGGCGCGUAGGCGGUAUAAUAAGUCAGUUGUGAAAGGCCAGGGCUCAACCUUGGAACUGCAAUUGAUACUGUUGUACUAGAGUAGAGUAGAGGGGAGCGGAAUUUCCAGUGUAGCGGUGAAAUGCGUAGAUAUUGGAAAGAACACCAGUGGCGAAGGCGGCUCUCUGGACUCAUACUGACGCUGAGGCGCGAAAGCGUAGGUAGCGAACAGGAUUAGAUACCCCGGUAGUC
Molecule: ribosomal RNA, 464 nt
Filed under: uncultured bacterium
Lineage: Bacteria
Description: partial 16S ribosomal RNA
Rfam family: Bacterial small subunit ribosomal RNA
Source: RNAcentral